UUGCUCUCUUUGGUAGCACAUGUACUAUAAUUGGAAUGAUACGGAGAAGAUUAGCUGGCCUCUGUGCAAGGAUGAUAUGCACAUUUGUGAAGAAUUUCAUAUUUUU
Molecule: small nuclear RNA, 106 nt
Organism: Pongo abelii (Sumatran orangutan)
Lineage: Eukaryota; Metazoa; Chordata; Mammalia; Primates; Hominidae
Source: Ensembl